RNAcentral lists this ribosomal RNA (438 nucleotides) under uncultured bacterium. Its description in RNAcentral is "bacterial SSU rRNA". It matches the Rfam family "Bacterial small subunit ribosomal RNA", at positions 338 to 793 of the family's 1533-position model. The record is from RNAcentral.
CCUACGGGGGGCAGCAGUGGGGGAUAUUGCACAAUGGGGGAAACCCUGAUGCAGCAACGCCGCGUGAGUGAAGAAGUAUUUCGGUAUGUAAAGCUCUAUCAGCAGGGAAGAGAAUGACGGUACCUGACUAAGAAGCCCCGGCUAACUACGUGCCAGCAGCCGCGGUAAUACGUAGGGGGCGAGCGUUAUCCGGAUUUACUGGGUGUAAAGGGAGCGUAGACGGCUGGUCAAGUCUGAAGUGAAAGCCCGGGGCUUAACCCCGGAACGGCUUUGGAAACUGAGCAGCUAGAGUGCUGGAGAGGUAAGCGGAAUUCCUAGUGUAGCGGUGAAAUGCGUAGAUAUUAGGAGGAACACCAGUGGCGAAGGCGGCUUACUGGACAGUAACUGACGUUGAGGCUCGAAAGCGUGGGGAGCAAACAGGAUUAGAUACCCCUGUAG